UUUCGUGUAUGCGCCGACUUCUCCAGACAAUGGACUCUUAGUCUCCACAACCUCAACGAUGACAUUUGCCGUCCCAGGUAGCUCCGGCGGGCCCGAAUCGAGCGUGAUCCUAACCGAAUCAAAAACCUCAAGCGCCUGCAACCUGAAAUUCACGUCUUUUGAAGCCGCCAUCAACUCUUGCAUCGACGAAACGUCUUUAAGCAGCGCCGUUUCGGCUUCGAUUAAGGAGUCCUUCGUCUUGGAGUUCCCCUUGAUGAUCACAUCGUGGACACGAAGAGGUAAACUUUCAGUCUGUAUCCGACGAAAGAGGCUCUCAAGCUUUGCUCGCUCUAUUCGUGCUCGAGACUCUCGGCUUCCCGUAUUUGGUAGUUCGGGUUGGAUUUCCUCUUCUUCCUCGUCUUCUUCGUCAAGGUCAUCCUCGCCACUGGUAGGGUUUUCCAGUACCGGGUCGGGUUCUGCUGCCAUUGAAGUGGAAGGAGAGAGACGCCGACUUGGCCGAUAACACUGUAGACUCCGAUUGUUGUUCUUGUUCUUUAUUGAUCUUUUUUU
RNAcentral lists this unclassified non-coding RNA (549 nucleotides) under Hevea brasiliensis (rubber tree). The record is from RNAcentral. Lineage: Eukaryota; Viridiplantae; Streptophyta; Magnoliopsida; Malpighiales; Euphorbiaceae.